RNAcentral lists this long non-coding RNA (1243 nucleotides) under Homo sapiens (human). RNAcentral's name for it is "HSALNT0069785". The record is from RNAcentral. Lineage: Eukaryota; Metazoa; Chordata; Mammalia; Primates; Hominidae.
AGUCUUCUUGCAUAUCUGGGCUCAGUCUCUGUACUCUCACUGCAAGCCUGAGAGGAAUGCAUUGAGAGGAUGGCAUGAGGAAGCACUUUUUCCUAUGUGAGGUCUUGAGAUUUUUCAUGCCAAAUGAUGUGGGAUCUGGAAAGAUGGGCGAAUAGGAAUAGCUCUGGUCUACAGCUCCCAGCAAAACCAACACAGAAGGAACUGCCAUACUUUUUUACACAGCAGCUGCACCAUUUUACAUUCCCACCAGCAAUGCACAACGGUUCUGAUUUCUCUAUGUCUUUUACUGCUGAAAGCAUCCUGAGUGACACAAACUUGAAGCAUGCAAGAGGACUAAAUAACUUCCAAAGUCACACAUAUUGCAUGUCAAGAGCCAGCUUCAAACUCAAGUCCCUGUGACCAGAGGUCGAUGCUCUAAACACAUUUCUGCAUGACCUGCUUGUGGCAGCCUGGAGAAAUUCUACAUAAAUCUUCUCAGAGCCAGUGGAGGAGGUUCACACUCACAUCAGGAAGAGCCUGAGGAUAAAGGGGAGCACAACAUGUGUUUUGCAAAUCAGUAAAUCAAUCAACUAAUAUUUAUGGACUAUUAAAUUUGAGUGGAGCUAUACAUUUGCAAAGACAAAGGAAACAGUUCCAGAGGCUGCGAGGUCUGAGAUCAAGGAUCUGACACCUGGUGAGGGCCUUUUUGCUGCAUCAUUUCACAUAGAGACAAAAAGAUUCUCACCUGUAAGCUUGAAUUAUGUCUACAUCAUGCUUGGGAAAUGUCCAUAUAUUCUAAGCUUGAAACUGCAGUGAUGAGGACGUCACCACUUCCAGAGAGAACACUUUACUACCAGGCAACUUGAGUACAAUAGGCAGCCACAAAUAUCAUCCUUGCUAGCCAGGAAUGACAAGGAGCAAGCCACAUGAGGAGUCAGAAAAGAUUAUUCCAGGCAGGGCUGAGAUCUGCAUUAUGGUCUGGAGGCUGCCCCAGUCUCUCCUUUACCUCCAUAUUUUUCUCACAGUUCUUGAGCAUCCAGUAAAUGCCAGAUGAAGCAUGGGGACACUGAGAUAACUAUACUGCUAUAGCUUCUGGUCUUAGGGUACAAAGAAUCUACAGAGAGAGCCACAGGAAAUCCUCAACUAUUCUAAUAAAAAUACAUGUUCAAAAACAAGAAUUGAAGCAAGAGAAGAAUGAUCAGUAAGGGCUUCAUGAAAGAAGAAACCAUUGAGUUUACUUUUACAAUGAAAUAUCUUUGGGGAG